AAUAACCGUAGUUAAAUAUUUCAUAUUUAACAACAGUUCAUAUUUGGUACCGUUGUGAAAUGAUUUCAUACAAAAUUAAAACAUAACAUGUUACACUUGAGUGCCCUAGUGAACCAGACGACAGGGAUAGCGAAAUCUUCAUCAUCUUUAUUCAUUACUUGGAACGUCAAUUGUUCACCAUCUUCAUUUAUUUCUUGGAACGAAAAUAAUUUAUUGGUCUCUUCCUCCUCUUCGAAGUAUGACGCAUUACCUUUCUAUGUUCAUCGUUCAUUUCUUUGUCUCUCUAUAUCACUAUGUGAUAUGGGUUUCCAUUAUUUUUAUUUUGUUGCAAAUGUAUUUUGGUUUUAUUUAGAUUUUGUGAUGUUUUUGUUGUUAUAAGGCUACUUGAUGUUAUUAUGUGUCCUGAUCUCGCAUUGUGAUGUUUUUGGUGUUAUAAGAUUAUGUUU
Molecule: long non-coding RNA, 446 nt
Filed under: Lathyrus oleraceus (garden pea)
Lineage: Eukaryota; Viridiplantae; Streptophyta; Magnoliopsida; Fabales; Fabaceae
Description: Pisum sativum (pea) long non-coding RNA (PSAT_LNC022720)
Source: RNAcentral